CUUUAACAGUUUGAAUUUCUACUUCAGGCAUUUGGACUGUCUUUACAUUGAAAACUAUAUGAAAAUUAUGUUUUAUAGUUUUCCACUUAUAUUUUAAUGCAUAUUUAGAUUAAUAACUAAAGGCAUUUUGCAGAUACAUGGAAAAAAUGUGAUAUCUCAAGGUACUGACUCUCAGCACUUCCUCAGAAUUAUUAGAUACAAUCUCUGAUUUUAGAGAUCCUCCCUCUUUUCUACUGCCUUCUUUCAACUUGUAAAUUAAAUGAUUUGAUACUUUUCUGAAGACUUUCAUGGUUCUGGUGGAUUGCCACAAGGAGCAGGCUGUGGAAUCCUGCUUUCUUUGGGAUUAAAUGCUUUUGCAUUUGUGUCUUCAUGCAGAUAUAUCCUGGAUUACUUUCUCUGAGACCCUGCUGGAGUGAGUGAGGAGUAGACCAAAGACUCUGGAAAAAAAAAAUGACUCUGGGGAAAAAAAAAAAAAAAAAAGCAACGAAUGAACGAACGUUUUAAGAGGUUCGAAAGGAAGGAAGGAAGGAAGGAAGGAAGGAAGGAAGGAAGGAAGGAAGGAAGGAAGGAAAAAGAAAAGAGGAAAGAGUAAGUGAAUGGGGUAAAAGGAACUUCCUCCAAAAGCCACCUUAUGUUUCCCAGAGUCAUGCUUUAAAUCUAUCACUGGUAACCAGUAAUUUGGGACUGGCAUUGUCCUCUCCAGGCUCCUCUUUUAUAUCACAAUGUCCCCAACAUGAGGGAGCACAUUGGAUCUCUAAUAUCUUUGAAUAAAUUUGAUUGUAUGUUGUUUUUUCUCAAGACAGGAAGGCUCAGGCAGCCAGAGGACACUGGAACAUGUUGAGGAGUCUAGGCUGAAAGGCAGGAAAAAUUGUGAAGAAAAUGAAGACUGGAAAUCAUAAAAACUGUCCAUACCAGCUGCUUUGAGGUCAUCUACAUUUGUUGGCUGCAGGUGGAAAUCUCCUUCACAGAGCCUGAAAUAGAAGGUUGUAAAAUCUGGCCUUUGAGGGAGCCAGACCAAACCAGCCUUUUGUAUAAUUUAUCAUUCACAGAACGUGUUAAGGUGCUUUUGAUCUUUGAAGGCAAUAUCUUUCAAAGUGCUGUGGUGCUUAUGUGUGACCAUUGGUCCUUUUCGGGAGUCCCAGUAUCUUGCUGAUUUCAAUAGUGAGUGAAAGAAUUUUUAAGAUGGUACACUGAUGACUCAGUUUAAUAGAAAGGCUCUAGAACUUGCUGAAAUCCAAUUGUGAGAUAAAGUACGUGAAUGGUGCCUUGAAAACAAUAAAUCACUAAGUAAACCUAAAGCAGUUUAUUGUAAUCAUUUCCAUCAUUGUUGUAUUUGUCAAAUUCUUGAUUUCACAGCGUAUUGAAUGUUCCACGCCUUCUGCCAGAUUAAGGGUGGGCUUCUACCAAAUAUUUGCCAUAAAGAGUGUUUUAAAAUAUAUUCAUAUUUUUCUUUGCAUUUACUCAUACUCCUUUAAGUAAUGUGGUAUAGACACAGAACUAACCAUUUGGUGUCACAAAAAAUGUUGUGAAAAUUUAUAGGCUUUGGUUUAUAGAGACUUGAAGAAGUUUUUCCACCUUUCUGGUAUUUUAUUCCUGUCAGUUUGCAUUGCUUCUUUUCUUUCCCUCUCCUCCUCCGCCAGGUUUGGUUUUAAGCUUUGGAUUCAAAGAAACCCCAAAGUCAAAACAAAAUGGUCAGAACUGCUGACUCUUGUUUUGUAACCUUUUUUUAGUCUAGUAUUCACAGGAAGAGAGGGUGCUGACCAGAACUUGGGCCUAACUUCACCCAAAAUGUUGGCAAAGUUCAGGAACCUUUGAGUGAACUUGUGCCAAGUUAAUGAUAUAUAGCGAACUUCACCAGUUUUCCAAAAACAUUUAAAAUAUAAUUGCAUGAAUAAUAUAAUCCUAUAAAAAGUCAAGUUAGUACUUAACAUUCAAUACUAAUCUGCUAGCUCUUUUUGAUAAA
Molecule: long non-coding RNA, 1963 nt
Organism: Papio anubis (olive baboon)
Lineage: Eukaryota; Metazoa; Chordata; Mammalia; Primates; Cercopithecidae
Source: Ensembl